UACGGGAGGCAGCAGUGAGGAAUAUUGGUCAAUGGACGAGAGUCUGAACCAGCCAAGUAGCGUGAAGGAUGACUGCCCUAUGGGUUGUAAACUUCUUUUAUACGGGAAUAAAGUGAGGCACGUGUGCCUUUUUGUAUGUACCGUAUGAAUAAGGAUCGGCUAACUCCGUGCCAGCAGCCGCGGUAAUACGGAGGAUCCGAGCGUUAUCCGGAUUUAUUGGGUUUAAAGGGAGCGUAGGCGGACGCUUAAGUCAGUUGUGAAAGUUUGCGGCUCAACCGUAAAAUUGCAGUUGAUACUGGGUGUCUUGAGUACAGUAGAGGCAGGCGGAAUUCGUGGUGUAGCGGUGAAAUGCUUAGAUAUCACGAAGAACUCCGAUUGC
RNAcentral lists this ribosomal RNA (379 nucleotides) under uncultured bacterium. RNAcentral describes it as "bacterial SSU rRNA". It matches the Rfam family "Bacterial small subunit ribosomal RNA", at positions 340 to 716 of the family's 1533-position model. The record is from RNAcentral.